This 470-nucleotide long non-coding RNA is filed under the name Brassica napus (rape). RNAcentral's name for it is "long non-coding RNA (BNAP_LNC000440)". The record is from RNAcentral. Lineage: Eukaryota; Viridiplantae; Streptophyta; Magnoliopsida; Brassicales; Brassicaceae.
GUCUGUUGCAUUGGGCAUGUAAGCUAUUUUUAUAAGACAAGAGGAGUGAGCAGGUGGAGCUGUUGUUGCCGUCUUUGUGUUUGUCGGGAUUGUCUCUUGUAUCUCAUGUUGUGGCUGGGUUUGUUUAUCUUUUAUUUGAUGGAUAAUAUGUAAACAAAAAUCAUUGUUAAUUGUAUUUAUCAGAGUUCAUAACUUACUCUGCUUUUUUUGUUUAGGUAAUUUCACUGAUCAUGGUUGUCGUUUUCGUCUUCUUCGUUGCGAAAGUAAGUUUGUAAAUUGUUAAAUAGCUGGCCGUGUAGUUUGUAUUUGUUUAGCUGACUCGAUAUAUGUGUCAUUGUGAAAGUAUGUUUGUAAAUUGUUAAAUAGCUGGCCGUGUAUUUUGUAUUUGUUUAGCUGACUUGAUGUAUUUGUCGUUGAGUUUUAGUUGAGGUGAUUGGUUUGGUAUAUUUGUUUUGAAGUUUAUUUCUGAG